GGAUACCGCGGAAUAUUGGAGAAAGGGAGAAGCGAGGGCAAUUUUCACCACCUUUCAUAUCCCAAGUUCCGAGUAAUAUGACGCUGGGGAUAUAUACCCUCUAACCCAGGUUGCUAGUGGUAGGUCAGCAACGGAAUGGAGGGCUCGACGGCGUAAGAAAUUCAAAAAAACAUAUGAUAUGUUGAUGUUGUAGUAUAUAUAGAUUGUGCAGAUACGGCCACGUGUGCCCAGGCAUGCAAAAGUUGCAAUUUUUAACAUGAACUUGUGAAAGGUGGAAAAUAGAAUAAACCCCCAAGGCUUAGCUCUAAGAGUAAUUUCGAGAUCCCGAGGGUGGCGUCAAAAGUGAUAAAAAUUUAGAAAUCUUGAUAGUUGGUUGGCCCUUUCUCGGGGCAUUAGGCAGACUCGAAGAUUGAUGCAGAACUGUGCUUGACGUGAAGGAGCAGCGAGCAACUGGACGGUGACUUGGGCCAGAGGGAAACUGGACGAUUAUGAUAACGAAUCUUGGGACUUGAUCGGAGGUUUUACCCUUGGUGUUGGGUUUUGCGGUGAAAUCUAAGGUGAAGGUUUGGGGACGAAAAGGAG
Molecule: small RNA, 582 nt
Filed under: Histoplasma capsulatum
Lineage: Eukaryota; Fungi; Ascomycota; Eurotiomycetes; Onygenales; Ajellomycetaceae
Also listed under: 1 other name
Description: hypothetical RNA
Source: RNAcentral